GCUACAGUAGAAAAUGAAGAUUUACAUUGCUUCCUCAAGUUACCUUAAACUUAUAUGCCCAUUGCUUUUAAAAGCAUUUAAAAUUCUGCAGUGCACUUAGUAAAUGUGUAGUGUUUUAAAAAUAAAAGACAAAAAGCAAAGCCUAUUGACUUCUGUUCCCAUUUGCUGUUUUGAAAUAGGAUUUAGUUUUGUUGCUAUCUUGGAAUCAAAAAUAGUGACACCUGACCCCCUUUUUGUAAUGGAUGGUUCUUGGAAAUUAAUUUAAGUUCCUUUUAAUUGAUUUUCCAAUUUCAAACAUAAAUGUUAACCAAUAGAGAAAUAAUUUACAUAGAGAUUGCUAUAUGCUACCCUUUUCUAGUCACAUCCAUUUAGCCAUGACACAACUAAAUCUAGUUAAUUGAAGCCUCCUAAAAUGGAAGGACCGGCCUGUGAAAAAACUUGGCACAACUGCAAGUUGAUAAAAUCUGUGAAAGGUAAUUGGAUAUGGUAAAGUGAAACACCCUGUUUAUAAAUUUAGGUAUUAAUGAAGAUGGAUCGCCUUUUUGAAGUUUGAAAACAUACUGUUAUGGUAGGGGUGUCCCUAAGGAUAGGGUAAAUUAUUACUUGUCAAAAGAUAUGACAAGGUAGUACUUAGGGUGAAAUCCUUGUAUUCAAAACCUUAGCUCUGUAGAACUAGAAAUUUAUAGCCUAACCACAGUGGGUUCGUCUUUCUGGUUUACAACUGAGAAAUAUAACAUAAUUAGGACUAUAACUCUUAGAAAUAUUUGUUAAUCACCUAGGACAAUAUCCAAUAUGUGGAGUUCAAAUCUAUCAGGAAAGACAGCUAUUUUAAAAGAUAAGUG
Molecule: long non-coding RNA, 842 nt
Filed under: Marmota monax (woodchuck)
Lineage: Eukaryota; Metazoa; Chordata; Mammalia; Rodentia; Sciuridae
Source: RNAcentral